This 778-nucleotide long non-coding RNA is filed under the name Homo sapiens (human). Lineage: Eukaryota; Metazoa; Chordata; Mammalia; Primates; Hominidae. The record is from RNAcentral.
CAAGUCCAGGUUCCCUUAUCUGCACAUAACAUCUGGUGUAAACACUUGUGGGGCUGGUUGGAGAUUCUCCGGGGACCCUUCCGUAUCUGCCUAGGCAUUUUGCUGUCUCCUCCUAAUACGGAACAAGCACAAUAUAAAAAACAAUUAGAGCAGUUAAACAAGGAUAUAAUACAGCUUCACUAAAUAAGAAGGAACUCACACUUAAAGAUGUGGAAUGUAAAUUCUACAAAAUGAAAACUGCUUAUGAAGAGGUUACAACUGAGUUAGAAGAAUAUAAGGAAGGCUUUGCAGCAGCAUUGAAAGCUAACAGUUCCAUGUCAAAAAAAUUAACUAAAUCGAAUAAGAAAAUAGCAAUGAUCAGUAUCAGCUCUUUAUGGAGAAAGAGCAGGUGAAAUAUUUUCUCAGCACUCUUCCUACAAGGCGAGGUCGAGAGUCACCUUGUGUUGAAAAUCUUACUAGUAUAGGACUCAACAGAAAAUAUAUUCCCCAAAUGCCCGUAAGAAUUCCUACUUCAAACCUCAGACUUCAAAUAACUGCCAGAACUACUUGACUGAUGUUAGUUAUAUGACCGUUUCUCUUUAGGGUUUCAUUUGUCUAGCGUAAUUCUUGUUUAUAAUUUGGUGAAACACUGAGUUGUUCUGUUGACUUUUGCAUGUGAAGUAAAGAUCAUAAUUAGCUGUGUUAACACAGAAAGGAAAUGGGAACUUUACAUUUUUUAAUUCCCUGGAGCUCUCAUUUUCAAGAGAUAUCCAUUUGCUAACUUUAUUCAAUAAAUGUG